Molecule: long non-coding RNA, 1409 nt
Filed under: Salmo salar (Atlantic salmon)
Lineage: Eukaryota; Metazoa; Chordata; Actinopteri; Salmoniformes; Salmonidae
Description: lncRNA (ENSSSAG00000116170.1)
Source: RNAcentral
CACACACUCCACGUAUCAUCACAGAAAGAGACUGACUCACACACUCCACGUAUCAUCACAGAAAGAGACUGACUCACUCACACACUCCACGUAUCAUCACAGAAAGAGACUGGCUCACUCACACACUCCACAUAUCAUCACAGAAAGAGACUGGCUCACUCACACACUCCACGUAUCAUCACAGAAAGAGACUGACUCACUCACACACUCCACGUAUCAUCACAGAAAGGGACUGUCUCACUCACACACUCCACGUAUCAUCACAGAAAGAGACUGACUCACUCACACACUCCACGUAUCAUCACAGAAAGGGACUGUCUCACUCACACACUCCACGUAUCAUCACAGAAAGAGACUGACUCACUCACACACUCCACGUAUCAACACAGAAAGAGACUGUCUCACACACUCCACGUAUCAUCACAGAAAGAGACUGGCUCACUCACACACUCCACGUAUCAUCACAGAAAGAGACUGGCUCACUCACACACUCCACGUAUCAUCACAGAAAGAGACUGACUCACUCACACACUCCACGUAUCAUCACAGAAAGAGACUGACUCACACACUCCACGUAUCAUCACAGAAAGAGACUGACUCACACACUCCACGUAUCAUCACAGAAAGAGACUGGCUCACACACUCCACGUAUCAUCACAGAAAGAGACUGACUCACUCACACACUCCACGUAUUCUCACAGAACGAGACUGACUCACUCACACACUCCACGUAUCAUCACAGAAAGAGACUCACUCACACACUCCACGUAUCAUCACAGAAAGAGACUGACUCACACACUCCACGUAUCAUCACAGAAAGAGACUGACUCACUCACACACUCCACGUAUCAUCACAGAAAGAGACUGACUCACACACUCCACGUAUCAUCACAGAAAGAGACUGACUCACACACUCCACGUAUCAUCACAGAAAGAGACUGACUCACUCACACACUCCACGUAUCAUCACAGAAAGAGACUGGCUCACUCACACACUCCACGUAUCAUCACAGAAAGAGACUGGCUCACUCACACACUCCAUGUAUCAUCACAGAAAGAGACUGGCUCACUCACACACUCCACGUAUCAUCACAGAAAGAUAUUGACUCACUCACACACUCCACGUAUCAUCACAGAAAGAGACUGGCUCACACACUCCACGUAUCAUCACAGAAAGAGACUGUCUCACUCACACACUCCACGUAUCAUCACAGAAAGAGACUGGCUCACUCACACACUCCACGUAUCAUCACAGAAAGAGACUGACUCACUCACACACUCCACGUAUCAUCACAGAAAGAGACUGACUCACUCACACACUCCACGUAUCAUCACAGAAAGAGACUGACUCACACACUCCACGUAUCAUCACAGAAAGAGACUGACUCACUCACACACUCCACGUAUCA